UACGUAGGUGGCAAGCGUUUGUCCGGAAUUAUUGGGCGUAAAGCGCGCGCAGGCGGCCUCUUAAGUCUGAUGUGAAAGCCCCCGGCUCAACCGGGGAGGGCCAUUGGAAACUGGGAGGCUUGAGUAUAGGAGAGAAGAGUGGAAUUCCACGUGUAGCGGUGAAAUGCGUAGAGAUGUGGAGGAACACCAGUGGCGAAGGCGACUCUUUGGCCUAUAACUGACGCUGAGGCGCGAAAGCGUGGGGGAGCAAACAGG
This 255-nucleotide ribosomal RNA is filed under the name uncultured bacterium. Its description in RNAcentral is "partial 16S ribosomal RNA". It matches the Rfam family "Bacterial small subunit ribosomal RNA", at positions 524 to 776 of the family's 1533-position model. The record is from RNAcentral.